RNAcentral lists this long non-coding RNA (241 nucleotides) under Mytilus galloprovincialis (Mediterranean mussel). The record is from RNAcentral. Lineage: Eukaryota; Metazoa; Mollusca; Bivalvia; Mytilida; Mytilidae.
AUAAGUGAUUUUUAUAGCAAGUGCACAUGGUAAGAUGGCCUUAUAUAAGUUCUUGCAAUGUUUAAUAGUCACAGUCAAAGAUCCAAAUUGACUUUCCAGAUUCGUUGGAUAAAUACAGACUCAUGUAAUCCUGACUAAAACAUAUAUAGCUAUAGGAUCUUUAAUACCAUCUUCGGCUGAUAAAACUAUUUCACAAUCAGUUCGAAUUCCUUGAGGUGACAAGCGAUGCACAUUGUUUGAC